RNAcentral lists this long non-coding RNA (923 nucleotides) under Dasypus novemcinctus (nine-banded armadillo). RNAcentral describes it as "lncRNA (ENSDNOG00000050386.1)". The record is from RNAcentral. Lineage: Eukaryota; Metazoa; Chordata; Mammalia; Cingulata; Dasypodidae.
UGUCACCGGGAAUGAGUCAAGUGACAGGUCUGUUACAGACUCGGGGACCUGUAGAUGCACUUGAAGUCACAUUUAACUUAAUGGGGAAGGGAAGAGAGGGAAGGAAGACUGUGAGUGAACUUUUCCUGGAUGUCCCGGGACCAAGAGGGAGAGCUCCUCAAAUGUGACACCCGGGCUCCACAAGGGAGCUCGCCCUUCUCCGCGAACCUCCAAAGAUGCGGGACCACAAGGAGCAGGAGCUCGGGUUCCCCCCGUAAAGGACACUUCCUUUGCUUCGUACGAGUCUUCCCGAGUCAGCAGCUGUCAUGUUUGGAUCAAGAAUGUUUGAAUGGGUGGACACAGUGGACAGGAAGAGGAAGUACAGCAAUAAUGAUAUAAAACAAGGCCAAGUCGUGACACAGUCUAGAUGUAGCUUGGAGAUCACUGACAUCCCAGCCACAGCUUCAGCAAAGUAUGAGCCAACAGGAAAACUCUGGGACACUCUCCGUUGUAUCAACAUAUCAGGUUUUGAGGAAGAAAGAGAAGAAAAUAAAUAGAAAAUUGCAGUGCCUUCCAGAGAUCUGGGUGCCUUAGUCUGCAUUUUGUUCACCCCACCCAAGAUAUGACUAUUACAAAAUGUAUUUUUUAAGCAAUGGAUGCCAGUCUUCUGGGGUCCACUUAAUUUCUUCCAUACUUGUCUUCCACAAAAGGCAGAUAUUCCUGAGCUUCUUCAUCUAUGAAAAAAGGCCAUCCUGAUAUCUGGCUUACAAGAAUGAGUACUCUUUUUAAAUUAUUAAGUAGCUGCUGAUGCUAAGAUAUCUGUUCUGACAUUACAAUGAUUAAAAAUACUGUGGCUAAUAAAAAGCUGCUAAACUGACAUAGUGAAAUUAAGAUCAAGCACCAAAGUAGAGAAAACAUUGAGAUAUUAUUUCCUUAUUUCUCAC